RNAcentral lists this ribosomal RNA (253 nucleotides) under uncultured bacterium. Its description in RNAcentral is "partial 16S ribosomal RNA". It matches the Rfam family "Bacterial small subunit ribosomal RNA", at positions 524 to 776 of the family's 1533-position model. The record is from RNAcentral.
UACGUAGGGUGCGAGCGUUAAUCGGAAUUACUGGGCGUAAAGCGUGCGCAGGCGGUUUUGUAAGCCAGAUGUGAAAUCCCCGGGCUUAACCUGGGAAUGGCAUUUGGGACUGCAAGGCUGGAGUUUGGCAGAGGAGACUGGAAUUCCUGGUGUAGCAGUGAAAUGCGUAGAUAUCAGGAGGAACACCAAUGGCGAAGGCAGCUCGCUGGGACGGUACUGACGCUGAGACGCGAAAGCGUGGGGAGCAAACAGG